Molecule: ribosomal RNA, 329 nt
Filed under: uncultured eukaryote
Lineage: Eukaryota
Description: partial 18S ribosomal RNA
Rfam family: Eukaryotic small subunit ribosomal RNA
Source: RNAcentral
CCCUUAGAUGUUCUGGGCCGCACGCGCGCUACACUGACAGAGCCAGCGAGUUUUUUACCUUGGCCGGAAGGUCUGGGAAAUCUUGUGAAACUCUGUCGUGCUGGGGAUAGAGCAUUGCAAUUAUUGCUCUUCAACGAGGAAUUCCUAGUAAGCGUGAGUCAUCAGCUCGCGUUGAUUACGUCCCUGCCCUUUGUACACACCGCCCGUCGCUACUACCGAUUGAACGGCUUAGUGAGGUCUUGGGAUUGGCGUCGGGGAGCCGGCAACGGCACCCCUUUGCUGAGAACUUGAUCAAACUUGGUCGUUUAGAGGAAGUAAAAGUCGUAACA